Molecule: non-coding RNA, 24 nt
Filed under: Arabidopsis thaliana (thale cress)
Lineage: Eukaryota; Viridiplantae; Streptophyta; Magnoliopsida; Brassicales; Brassicaceae
Source: RNAcentral
UCAACUGCGGAUAAAAUAUGAUGC